Molecule: ribosomal RNA, 467 nt
Filed under: uncultured bacterium
Lineage: Bacteria
Description: partial 16S ribosomal RNA
Rfam family: Bacterial small subunit ribosomal RNA
Source: RNAcentral
CCAGACUCCUACGGGAGGCAGCAGUAGGGAAUUUUCGUCAAUGGGCGCAAGCCUGAACGAGCGAUGCCGCGUGAGUGAAGAAGGCCUUCGGGUCGUAAAGCUCUGUUGCGGGGGAAAAAGGCAGCAUCAGGAAAUGGGUGCUGACUGAUGGUGCCCCGCCAGAAAGCCCCGGCUAACUACGUGCCAGCAGCCGCGGUAAUAUGUAGGGGGCUAGCGUUAUCCGGAAUUACUGGGCGUAAAGGGUGCGUAGGUGGUUUCUUAAGUCAGAGGUGAAAGGCUACGGCUCAACCGUAGUAAGCCUUUGAAACUGGGGAACUUGAGUGCAGGAGAGGAGAGUGGAAUUCCUAGUGUAGCGGUGAAAUGCGUAGAUAUUAGGAGGAACACCAGUUGCGAAGGCGGCUCUCUGGACUGUAACUGACACUGAGGCACGAAAGCGUGGGGAGCAAACAGGAUUAGAUACCCCAGUA